GAUGAACGCUGGCGGCGUGCCUAAUACAUGCAAGUCGAGCGAACAGACGAGGAGCUUGCUCCUCUGACGUUAGCGGCGGACGGGUGAGUAACACGUGGAUCACCUACCUAUAAGACUGGGAUAACUUCGAGAAACCGGAGCUAAUACCGGAUAAUAUAUUGAACCGCAUGGUUCAAUAGUGAAAGACGGUUUUGCUGUCACUUAUAGAUGGAUCCGCGCCGCAUUAGCUAGUUGGUAAGGUAACGGCUUACCAAGGCAACGAUGCGUAGCCGACCUGAGAGGGUGAGCGGCCACACUGGAACUGAGACACGGUCCAGACUCCUACGGGAGGCAGCAGUAGGGAAUCUUCCGCAAUGGGCGAAAGCCUGACGGAGCAACGCCGCGUGAGUGAUGAAGGUCUUCGGAUCGUAAAACUCUGUUAUUAGGGAAGAACAAAUGUGUAAGUAACUAUGCACGUCUUGACGGUACCUAAUCAGAAAGCCACGGCUAACUACGUG
This 497-nucleotide ribosomal RNA is filed under the name uncultured bacterium. RNAcentral describes it as "partial 16S ribosomal RNA". It matches the Rfam family "Bacterial small subunit ribosomal RNA", at positions 28 to 507 of the family's 1533-position model. The record is from RNAcentral.